GCCAGAUCAGAGGCAUAAACUUGAAAUAGAAGGUGAUAAAAUCAUCAGAGUACUGGGUGGCACCAGCAAUGGUAUUGGAUCAUCAUCUGAAUGUUGAGUUUACUGGGUUUUUUUUGGCAUGUGUCUCUUUAAGGGACAAAAAAUUCCAAAGCUUGAGGGAUUCUUCUUUUUGCAUUAGGUAUUCAAAAGCUUUCAGAAAUGGUAUAUUUGAAAGUUCUUUUUCUGAAGUGUUAUGAUUUUUUUUCCCUGCCCUUUGAGCUUAAUAAGGGGCGAAGCCAUGGGACUCAAUGACUUUAAAAUAUAUUGCUCUAUUGGGAUAAUGAGAUAGCAACCACAAAUACAUGUCUACUGGGUAAGAGUCAGGAUUUCUUUUUUUUAAAGAAAUGCUGUUAGAUCCUCUUGCCAACCUUAUACAAACAUCUAAUGUAGGAUGUGUACAUGAAACAUCUUGAAUGAAGUAAUAAUCUCUAGUUAAUAAUUAAAUCUCCAGAAGCUCUUGUAAUUUGUGCAUGUUAGAGUGUUUAAUCUCUUUACAUGAGCCUAAUUAAAGAGCAAUAUUCAGAACUCAGGUUUCAUGAAGGGAAUCUCCUAGUCCUUUAUAAAGACUGAUUUAGCAUACCACAGGGUAUUAUUAACACACAAAAAAAUCAAUAUAUCGUACUAAAAAGCAUGCUGGAUUUGUGAUUACAGGUAAAUUUUUUUAGGCUACCAAUUGUCAAACUAUUGUUCAGAGAUGCAUUAAUGAGAGUCACAAGUGCUGGAGUGUCAGAUUUCAGCUGGUGACACUUCACUAGUUUUAGUCAAUACAGACCUUAUCACAGUAAUGCAUACAUCAUGUUUAUGGAAAUAUAGUUACAAAAAAUCAAUACUAAAUAGCAGGUCUUUAUUAUAAGUGAUGGUGGACUUAAAUUAGCCUGUGGGAAUUGGCUACCUCCCACCUCCACAGCCUCUUCAAAGUUUAUGCUUUAAUCAUUUCUCCUUCUCUGUAAGAAUGCACAUGCUCAUGUCUCAACACUCAAGUCCAAGACUUGAUAAGUAAUGAAAGAAGUUUCAAAAAUUAAAUGGAGGGAGUAUUGCUACCUUACUCUGAUACAUCUGGUGGUGUGCCAAAAAUGCUGGGGGUGUAAAAUAUUAAGAAAACAAGCAGAUGUUGGAAUACAAACUGAUGUUGUCUUUCCCCAGAUAAUGUUAUCCUACCUUUUUCAAAUAGAACGUCUAUGUAAAGAGGAUUGUGUAAAUGAUUAUCUUUGGCAUCUGGUCUGAAAUGCUUCACGUUUGAUUUUUCACAUAGGCUGUCGGUGGAAGAUCAUUUCCUAUUUCAGAGGUUGCUGGCCUUAUUUGCAGUAUUCUUGUGUUAAAAAAUAAAAAAAGUCCCAACAACAACAAACUGAAGUUUUCAAAUAUUCACAAAUUGCUAAUGAAUAUCAGAAUGACAUAGAUGUAUGGGCUAGCACAAGAAAUGUGGCCAAUGUUGAUACAGUGUUCUUUUAGACCUCUUCUGCAGUCUCAGCACUUUAUGGAAAACUGGCUGAAAGCCUCUCCUCUUUUCAAUCUUUGGCAAGUCUGCCUUUACUGAUAGAAAGAGAUGUGUGAAAGUUCAGGAUAUCAACCCAGCCAUUAAUUGCGCUGCUUGUUACUUGGCUGUUUGUGCCUUGAGCAACUGUUGCAGAACAUGAAAGUUGUGAGGAAUUUCUCUGAAAACCUUAGGGUAUUAUUUUGCCCACUGCCUGCCCAAUCCAGUCCUUUCAAUUAGAAAAAAAUUAAAUCAUCCUUUGGAUUGAUGAGGGGAAAACAAGAAGGAGUUAAGGUGAACAAGUAGAAUUAAUGCAAGGUAAAGAAGACACAGUUACAGAAUUCUGUACCUUUAAGUGCUUUUUGCUGGAUUUUUAUUUCUUGGAUCUUAGCUCCCUAAAUAUGAAACAGGCAAGUAAAAGGCUAAAGACCAAAUGGAGAUAUUUAAAAAAGGAACACUUGUUACUUUUAAUUCUCUCGCAAUUGUUGUUAGAAAGGGGGUUUUAUAUUCUAGCAUUUUGGAUUGUUUCUUGAAUAUUUUGAGGCUCAAGAGUGGGAGUCAAAGUACUUAAAUAUAAGGCAUCUUUAAUUUUCUGUGAUCUGUAGUUUUCCACGUUGAAAGAACUGUAUAUACAGUUCUGGGAAACUGAAAAAAAAAAUCUAUUUCUACGAGUGGAGAGUGCUAUGGAAAAUGUAAGCCUUGAAUGGGAGAUAUGCUAUGGAAAAAGUGUACUUUGCCUUCAGAAAGACAGGUACUCUUGAGUCUAGUAGGUGGGUAGGCAAGCAGCUUUCUGAAAUUAAACUUCACAACAUUAAGAAAAAACACUCAGUUUUAAGUUGAAUGAUAAACACUGUGUUCUGCUGUUCUUAAAUUGUGUAUUCUGCUUUAAUCUUUAUGAGCAUACAUGUACUUUUCUGUUCUCUAACAUUAGCUUGUGCCAAGAUCUUCUUAAUCAAAACCAGUAGAGAAUUAUUUUAAUUAUUAAUCAGCAGCCAAUAUUCACGGAUAUUUUGUUAAAUAUUAUUUUCUUACUUUGGUUUCAAGAGAGUUUUCACAUAUUAGCUUAGGAUAUUAGUUUUCUGUGAUAGCAUUAAUCUUGUUUGUGAAUUCUCACCUGGGUUCGAAACUGAAAUGGCAGUUCUUAAGAGAAAUAGAAAUCCUGCACAGAAUUUUGCAGGACCAUGAAUUCCUUCAUUAAUUUACAUCAGCUUAACUUUUCAACAUGUACUUAAAACUACAGGGUAGUUUUGAACACGAGUAGUCUGAACAAAACACAGUUCCAGGGGUUAGAGCUCUUCAUGUACUUGUCAAAAUGUUUCUGGUCUUACUGGGAGUAAAACAUGCACUAGCAGGCUGAUUUCCACUUUGUGGUGUGAGUCUGGAAACAGAUGUGGGCUGGAAUCAUGGCAUUUGAGGGAACCCAACAAAUCUCACACUGACUUUAUUGGCUUAGGCUCACGGCCAGGCUGCAACUUUUCUGUCUAAAAUGUGUUCAGUAGCUGGGAAAUCUGCAGUCUCUCUGUACGUGCAAGACAGUAGAGAUUACUUCAUAUAUUCUUUCGGGAAUCUGGGCUGUUAUGGUAUCUAACCUCCCCCCCCUUCUCUAUGGCUGGGGAUGGCAGGGGGAAGGCAUCUCCAUGAUCAGCAACAUAGCAAAGGCUUAUGUGUAGGAAAAGAAAGAGUUGCCUUGAACGCAUACCAUGCUGGUAAUGUCAGUCACUGAAAUGGUCCUGUUAUGUCAGAGGUUCAGAAAGAGCUUAGAGUGACAUGGGUGGUGUAUUUUAAAACACUUAUGCACAUGAGGAGAGUUACCAUGAGUGCAAAGGAAGCACUAAAUAGGACAAUGCAAUGUGCAAAAAUCAGAACAGCUUAGUUUCAUAUGGAGCUGCCCUCAGUGUAGACGCUCACAGUAUUUGUAGUUGCCCUUGGGUCCAGGGGAGUUGAAUAGUUCAGUUUUGCUUCAGGGGUUCCCAGUGACCAUUUAGAUUAAUUCAGAUGGCAUUUAAUAUUACUUACUAUUUAAUAUUACAAGUAAUAUUAAUAUUACUUGUUUUAACAAGUAAUAUUAAAACCUGUGGCUGGCUCUGUUGCCCUCCCAGCUCAGCCUCAUCCUCAUUUUGCAGUCAGCUGUCCUCUAAACAUCUUUAGCUUUCUGGGGCUGUAAGGCACAGUCUGCUCUGGGGGUUGCUGAACUUCCUUGCAUGAAUUAAUGUAGCUUUUUACCUUUGGCAACAGCAGAGGGAGCCGCCAGAGGUCUUGCAUAGUAUUUCAAAUGUCAGCUGCCAGUAUCGAGCAGCUGCCAGCACUGCAUCUCUGGCAGGGGGAGUGUUAGUGUGGACACAGGGUGAGUCAGGCUGGGCAGGAACUUGUGUACACAGUACCCUGAGACUGGUAAAAAUCUCCCAGCAAGUUGUCUCCUGUGUUGCUUGGGUCAUAUAUGAGGAAAUACUACUGGCUUUUGACUGAAUCAGAAUCAUGGGUGUUUUGCAUUCAGAGCUGAAAAGUGCUUUUAUUCUUUCAGGACUUGCUCCUGGUCUUGGAUGUCAAUGGCUCAAUAGGGAUUAAGCUUCAGAAGCAGAUAUUGGAUCCAUAUCAUCCUGUGUUUUUUGCACGGAAAUGGCCAGGUCUCUUCAUGGUAUUUUGCUGAACUUUGAAAUAUGUGUGCACUGGGAAUAACACUGUCACUUUGGAACUUGGCAAGCAAGGCAGGAUUUUCAGCUAAUCUUUGGAUGUUAGGAGCCAGUGCCCAGGAUUUGCUGUAUCAAAUACAUGGAACCAGAAUGGGGACUUAAUGGCAGGCAGGAAAGAGGAAUGUCACUUUUUAAUCAGUUCACUUCCUGUCAUGGCCACGCAUGUCAAGGAAGAAGUAUGAUAUUCAAAUGAUUUGUGAGAAGAGAACAGAAAGUGUCUCUGUCUCCAGGUCUCAGAUAGUUCAGAGAAAAAGCUAGGAAAGCUAGAACAGCUUUUUAAGGGAAUGGGGGAGGGAUAGGGGUGAAGGUAGGUUAGAAAAUAAAAUUCUGAAACUGCCACUGCCAGGUCUGGUUCAAUAUGCUGCAUCACUUAUCUAGUUCAGACCUUGUUUAUUUGUAUUGAUUGUAAAAUCAGCGUCCUGUAUGUAUAAUAACUGAUUUCCAAAAAAAGGUUUGCUCUUUUUGGUACAAAUGCCCUGUGGGUCUAUGAUGAUAGCUGCUGUCCCAAUUUACAAGUGACAUGUCUCCAGUACGUAUUUUUAACUGUUAGUCUCACAGUUGAACCCCACAGCAAUACUGCCAAGUGCAUCAUUGCAGGUAAAAAUGGUUGUGUUGUGCCUGCAAUGGCAUCUGUCAUUGUUGUUGGCUGUGCCUGCAAUGCAAGUGCUUAGCUGUAAGGUUAAUGGUUGUCAGAAUUGUAAGAUUCUUACUUUUUUUUUUUUAAUUGUUAAAAAUUGUAAGCUUUAAGUACUGUGAAGCUGUAAGUGUUCCGGAUUUGAGAAGUUCUACUGUAGUAUGAGUAAGUGUAAUAUACAAUAAAUGUUUGUUCAUUGUCUUUUGUAUUAUAAGGACAAGGAGUCCUGCUUGAAGAAGUGGGGGUAGUAAAGGUCUCCUGCUGAGAUAAGAAACCGUAAAAUGCCUGAAAUUCCUUUACUUAAUGUAACAAGAUAGGGCCCUUAAACCGGUAAGGGGGAGGGAGUUUUCUCCCCUUCUCCCCCCUUGCAUCCUAGUUCCAUCUUUUGUUUAAAGUCACUGUUGCAAAGCUCCUGUAACCAUUCCUGAUAAGCUGCUGAACCAGCAUGAUAAUGUUCUGCCUUCCUGCUUCAUGCUGGGUCAACAUGACCUAGUGAGGAAAGGGAGUCGAGCCACAAUGCAGAGGAAGACUACGGCCUUCAUCUUCACGACCACCAGAGAGACUGGGACGACCCCCUAGCAACAGUGUGUGCAGCUACAGAACAUACCUGGAUGUGCUGCGUAAUCCCGGAAUUACUAAGAUAUAAAAAGGGACCCUGGCGGGGGUGAGGUACGCGCCAUUGGCGGAGCCGACUCCCCGGCCACCCAGCGCUGUUUUGCUUGCUGUUUUCAUAGAAUCAUAGAAUCAUAGAAUAU
RNA transcript from Anas platyrhynchos (mallard), 5592 nucleotides. RefSeq lists it as uncharacterized. NCBI's taxonomy places the organism in Eukaryota, Metazoa, Chordata, Aves, Anseriformes, Anatidae. The record is from RefSeq and is a predicted model, not a curated record.